Molecule: ribosomal RNA, 302 nt
Filed under: uncultured bacterium
Lineage: Bacteria
Description: partial 16S ribosomal RNA
Rfam family: Bacterial small subunit ribosomal RNA
Source: RNAcentral
GCAGCAGCCACGGGAAUACGGAGGGGGCUAGCGUUGUUCGGAAUUACUGGGCGUAAAGCGCACGUAGGCGGCUUGGUAAGUUAGAGGUGAAAGCCCGGAGCUCAACUCCGGAAUUGCCUUUAAGACUGCCGAGCUAGCAGGUGAGAGAGGUAAGUGGAAUUCCGAGUGUAGAGGUGAAAUUCGUAGAUAUUCGGAAGAACACCAGUGGCGAAGGCGGCUUACUGGCUCAUACUGGACGCUGAGGUACGAAAGCAUGGGGAGCAAACAGGAUUAGAUACCCCUGUAGUCCCUGUCUCUUAUAA